Molecule: ribosomal RNA, 756 nt
Filed under: Pantoea sp. Wr1K21
Lineage: Bacteria; Pseudomonadati; Pseudomonadota; Gammaproteobacteria; Enterobacterales; Erwiniaceae
Description: bacterial SSU rRNA
Rfam family: Bacterial small subunit ribosomal RNA
Source: RNAcentral
GUUUAUUCUCGGCUGAGAGUGAACGCGGGGGGCACGCCUCACACGUACAUGUGGGACGGUAGCACAGAGACCUUGUUCUUGGGUGACGAGUGGCGGACGGGUGAGUAAUGUCUGGGGAUCUGCCCGAUAGAGGGGGAUAACCACUGGAAACGGUGGCUAAUACCGCAUAACGUCGCAAGACCAAAGAGGGGGACCUUCGGGCCUCUCACUAUCGGAUGAACCCAGAUGGGAUUAGCUAGUAGGCGGGGUAAUGGCCCACCUAGGCGACGAUCCCUAGCUGGUCUGAGAGGAUGACCAGCCACACUGGAACUGAGACACGGUCCAGACUCCUACGGGAGGCAGCAGUGGGGAAUAUUGCACAAUGGGCGCAAGCCUGAUGCAGCCAUGCCGCGUGUAUGAAGAAGGCCUUCGGGUUGUAAAGUACUUUCAGCGGGGAGGAAGGCGGUGCGGUUAAUAACCGCGCCGAUUGACGUUACCCGCAGAAGAAGCACCGGCUAACUCCGUGCCAGCAGCCGCGGUAAUACGGAGGGUGCAAGCGUUAAUCGGAAUUACUGGGCGUAAAGCGCACGCAGGCGGUCUGUUAAGUCAGAUGUGAAAUCCCCGGGCUUAACCUGGGAACUGCAUUUGAAACUGGCAGGCUUGAGUCUUGUAGAGGGGGGUAGAAUUCCAGGUGUAGCGGUGAAAUGCGUAGAGAUCUGGAGGAAUACCGGUGGCGAAGGCGGCCCCCUGGACAAAGACUGACGCUCAGGUGCGAAA